UGGGGAAUAUUGGACAAUGGGCGAAAGCCUGAUCCAGCCAUGCCGCGUGUGUGAAGAAGGUCUUCGGAUUGUAAAGCACUUUAAGUUGGGAGGAAGGGCAGUAAGCGAAUACCUUGCUGUUUUUACGUUACCGACAGAAUAAGCACCGGCUAACUCUGUGCCAGCAGCCGCGGUAAUACAGAGGGUGCAAGCGUUAAUCGGAAUUACUGGGCGUAAAGCGCGCGUAGGUGGUUCGUUAAGUUGAAUGUGAAAGCCCCGGGCUCAACCUGGGAACUGCAUCCAAAACUGGCGAGCUAGAGUAGGGCAGAGGGUGGUGGAAUUUCCUGUGUAGCGGUGAAAUGCGUAGAUAUCGGAAGGAACACCAGUGGCGAAGGCGACCACCUGGGCUCAUACUGACACUGAGGUGCGAAAGCGUGGGGAGCAAACAGG
This 429-nucleotide ribosomal RNA is filed under the name Pseudomonadota bacterium. RNAcentral's name for it is "Proteobacteria bacterium partial 16S ribosomal RNA". It matches the Rfam family "Bacterial small subunit ribosomal RNA", at positions 355 to 776 of the family's 1533-position model. The record is from RNAcentral. Lineage: Bacteria; Pseudomonadati; Pseudomonadota.